GCUAAAAAUUUAGCCCCAAUACAACUAAUGUAACACAAAAACCCAAUCAUAUUAACCAAAACAUUUUACCGCUUUAGUAAAGGUGAUUGAAAAACCACUUGGAGCAAUACAACAUAGUACCGCAAGGGAAAACUGAAAUAAAAAUGAAAUAACCAUCAAGCACAAAAAAGUAGAGAUCUACCCUCGUACCUUUUGCAUCAUGGUUUAACUAGUCUAAUCAAGCAAAAAGAUUUUAAGUUUGACCCCCCGAAACUAGGUGAGCUACUUCAAGGCAGCUUUAUGAGCGAACCCGUCUCUGUAGCAAAAGAGUGGGAAGACCUUCAAGUAGAGGUGACAGACCUAACGAGCCUAGUGAUAGCUGGUUACUCAAGAAAAGAAUUUAAGUUCAACCUAAAAUUAAAAAAAUAAUAUAAAAUAUAGCCUUAAUUUUAGAGCAAUUCAAAUAAGGUACAGCCUAUUUGAAAAAGGACACAACCUCAACCACCGGGUAACUUAACUUAAAUGCUCAACAAAGUAGGCCUAAAACCAGCCCACCA
This 536-nucleotide ribosomal RNA is filed under the name Ikakogi tayrona (Magdalena giant glass frog). RNAcentral describes it as "partial 16S ribosomal RNA". The stretch from base 168 to 536 matches the Rfam family "Bacterial large subunit ribosomal RNA", at positions 568 to 1095 of the family's 2925-position model. The record is from RNAcentral. Lineage: Eukaryota; Metazoa; Chordata; Amphibia; Anura; Centrolenidae.